This 331-nucleotide unclassified non-coding RNA is filed under the name soil metagenome. RNAcentral describes it as "partial contains 5.8S ribosomal RNA, internal transcribed spacer 2, and large subunit ribosomal RNA". The stretch from base 1 to 120 matches the Rfam family "5.8S ribosomal RNA", at positions 35 to 154 of the family's 154-position model. The record is from RNAcentral.
GAUGAAGAACGUAGCGAAAUGGGAUAAGUAAUGUGAAUUGCAGAAUUCAGUGAAUCAUCGAAUCUUUGAACGCACAUUGCGCCCCCUGGUAUUCCGGGGGGCAUGCCUGUUCGAGCGUCAUUUCACCACUCAAGCCUCGCUUGGUAUUGGGCAACGCGGUCCGCCGCGUGCCUCAAAUCGACCGGCUGGGUCUUCUGUCCCCUAAGCGUUGUGGAAACUAUUCGCUAAAGGGUGUUCGGGAGGCUACGCCGUAAAACAACCCCAUUUCUAAGGUUGACCUCGGAUCAGGCAGGGAUACCCGCUGAACUUAAGCAUAUCAAUAAGCGGAGGA